Long non-coding RNA from Solanum tuberosum (potato), 3508 nucleotides. RefSeq lists it as uncharacterized. The transcript is spliced from 3 exons. Lineage: Eukaryota; Viridiplantae; Streptophyta; Magnoliopsida; Solanales; Solanaceae. The record is from RefSeq and is a predicted model, not a curated record.
CUAGUAGGCAUCAUCGGUCAACCCGAUGCCCAUCGCAUAAUAUAAGAAAUCGACUAGCAAGAAACAUGCAAUAAGACUGUUCAUUCCUCCACCUUUAUAUUUUCGUGAGACUUAAACAUAUACUAGUACACUAGACUCUAACCCCUUACUCGAUCCAUCCUUGAUCCUAGCUUAACCAUUCUAUCUCUUAUAGGAGUUUUCGGAUGUAACCACUACCAACCCGGCCGACCACUCACGACACACCCAUACUUCUUCCACGUCACCACUCGACCCUUGACCCCAUAGUAUGUUCUAUCAAGGCUUGUUAACCAUUUCAACCCAACUAUUAAUAUUGACGGCAUAACCCACCCCAAUUCUUAACGACAAUACACAUCACCACCUAUCUAAAUAACGAAUGAUAACACCGGGACCCUUGGUCCCCACUUACCAUACCACCUCCCGAUUUGGGCCUGGCCGUUAAUUGUUCAUUUACAUUAGCCAGAUAUACCCAAUUAUCUUACGACACCAACAGUCCACGCAUGUAUAUAUACGUGCAAUCCAAUUAUUAGUUUGAGAACAACAUACAUAUCCACAUUAUCAAUAACAAGCAUAUAUGAAGAUAUCAAUCACAAGUGGUCCUCUCACGAAACCCACGUCCAAACUGUUAGUGUGCCGGAACGUGACACCCGAUCCAAUGCAUGUAUAUGUGUUAGUACGUGAUACCCGAUCCAAUGUAUGUUAGUGUGCCGGAACGUGACACUUGAUCCAAUGCAUGUUAGUGUGUCGGUACGUGACACCCGAUCCAAUGCAUGUUAGUGUGUCUGUACGUGAUACCCUGUCCAAUCAGCACAAUCACAAUCACAAUCACAUCUAUAACACACAUACUUAUGGCCAUACAAUUAAGUAUUAGGUUCAUGGCAUGCAAUUGUACAUAUUCAGUCUUUUCAUUAGGUACGAUCCAUGAUAUCUCUAAUCCCAUACACGUAUGCAUAUCACGAAACCAUUAACAAGUUUAUAUCACACAACAGAAAAUCAAACCAUCACGUAACCCUAGUUCACGGGGUAGGGCUUCCUCCUAUGGUAUACGUCUGAUGUAACAGCUAGGAAUAUACGUAUAGUCAUCUUUUUUUCGGUGCACAAAAGCCUACAUAUGAAUUCUACCGUCAAUUACCAAUAUACUACGCAGUGAGUCACGGAUUUAUAACUACUCAAUUAAUAAACCUAACCUACAUGGGCGCCAAGCAUUCACAGAGGGAUUGUAGCUCAAAAUCUGGUUUCUGAAUGACGGGACGGUGAAUCUUGACCAGAAGUCCGCAAUCUAUCGACCUCCUUAUGCUAGAAAUCUCUUUCUCCUUCCUUCCCAAGCCUAGAGAAGCCUUUUGAGGGUUUCUGGGGUGAUUUUCGCCUCUUUUUGGUGUUUUUUGGAAAAAGGAGAAAAUCAGACUUCGCGUUAUUUACAUUCUGUCUCGUCCAUCCGCUCUGGAAGCCACUUAUCCCGCUAGAGCGUCGCCGCCCUGGCGGCAUCUGGCCCGCUCUGGAAGGCCGAGAGACCCAGUUUUUCCCGAUAUUUUUCCUUCUUAAUUAACAAUGGUUCGGGUCGUUACACGUACCGACACCAUCUAACUUCGACUUUCUCUCAUUUAAUUUGUGGUUUAUUUAUUGGGCGCACUAUUUGCAGCCAUAAUCACUAUUAUUUUCAAAUUAAUUGUUGUUAGGUAAAUGAAAACUUUUUUUAUUUUUGAAGAUCUCUCCUGUACCUUUUUUUUGGAAACAUGUGUACACUAUGUUCAAAUAUCCAAUCAUUUGAGGAGUUGCUUCAGACAGUUAGCUAUUCUGUAAAACUUUAAUAUAAAAAAAAGCUAUAUCACACUUUUUUUCUCCAUAAGGCAUUGCCACUUGAACAGUCUUUGCACCGAAGAGGGAGGAAUUCAUUGAAUCAGGAAUAUAUCAAGUAUAAAACUUGGCUCAUCUUUUGUGUAACAUGUCAUGUACACUCUUUAUGCUAUCUGUAUCUUUUUUUUUGUGUAAAAGAUCUUCUCAUGAGAUAUCCUAGUAAAUCAAUUACAUAUUAGAUCAACCUGCAAGUUGGGAAGUUUUUGAAUGAUUCUUGUUCUUGUAAAUACUCUUUUGAGUUGAGCUUUGUACUAAUUUUCUUCAUAUGGUUGAAGUUGCCAUUUUUAUCAUCGUGCAAGUUUGGAAGUUUUUCCAUGAAUCUAGGAGUUCUCUUGGAAUUUUCUGUGUAAUCAGGUUUCGGUUAGAUCUAUCUUCUUUCUCCCCUUCCUCCAAAUGGGAGUAGAGCUGUCGAUUUUGAUGACAUGAUCUUACAUUUUUCACAAAGCUGCAACUGUCUUUGGUGGUUUGGAGUUGAUAUCUCUACUUAAUCUUGUAGUCAAUUGUUUUGUCCCGCUGCCCUCUAUAAAUAUCCCUGCUUGGUUACAAUGGGGAGGGUUGGCAACUCGAGUUCCUUUCUCCUGCCGGUUGUCUUAUAUGAUCUGGUAGUCUUUAAUUUUUUCCCUGAUGCAGGUUUCUGCUCUUUGGUUGUGGCAUUUGGAAGUUUGGGUGGCGGGGUCAAGGAUUUUUUUUUUUGAGGUUUCUGCCAUAGUGCAACUAGUCUUGUGUGUUCAUUUUCCUGAUGACCGGAGACGGUUGAUGAUUUUUGGGUAUUUAAAGAAUCGGAUAUGUAUGGAUUUGUUGUUGUUGUUAUAUCUCUAAGUCCUUUGAUUUUGCUAUAUAGUUAUGGAAUGAGAAGACCUGUCAAUUGCAGAAAUGAAGUCUGGCAGAAUGCUUGGUCUCCUGUGCCGGAAUGCUUGGUCUCCUGUGCUGGAAGUGAGAUUCAAAUGGUUAGUGUUUACCUGAUAAGUUCGUUCAUGAUGUGUCGAACAAUGUUACAGUUGUGAGAUGAAACACUAGAUCCCUUAUACUAUGUGACUUACGUGGGAGUGCAACAGGAAGCACAUUCAUGGAUUGAUAGAUGUUUCAAACAAUAAUUAAUGGGGGAUUAGAAAAUGUUGUGAUACCAUAUGUCAGGCUACUCCAAGCAGUAUCCAUGUUGUCGUGUGAGGUACAUAUUCUAAGCAUCGUCUGUAUGGCUGUUUAAUAUUCUAGAAAUUAAAAGGUUGUGUUUCAUACUAGAGAGGGGCAUAGAAGGAGGUGAGAUGUCAUCAUCACAUAGUACUUAGCAUUUAUGUUUGAGCAUGUUGCUUAUGAUGUCCUUUUAGUCUUUUUUUCUGAUGCAUUAUUAGAGUUGUACAUAAAAUUUAAGAUUAUCACGUCUAAUUAGCUUAUUUUUGGUUGAUCCUUAUAUGAGGAGCAUGUCUAAUAUAUUACAUGAUGUAUUACUAAAGAGAAAACAUUGCAUAUCCACGAAAAUCAUCAUGACUGGCUCUUUCCAAGGGUAAAUCUAUCUUGUCCGCUGGGAUCGAACUACAUGUGCGAAAUCGAUGUAUCAAUGUCGGUGUGGCUUGGUCAAGCAUUAAAUACAUGGACAACAACUAACUUAAGUUAAACAGGAGAUUUAGUCAAAGUAUAA